This 68-nucleotide transfer RNA is filed under the name Marmota monax (woodchuck). RNAcentral describes it as "tRNA.Ser". The record is from RNAcentral. Lineage: Eukaryota; Metazoa; Chordata; Mammalia; Rodentia; Sciuridae.
GGACUGUAGCUCAGUGGCAAAGGGCUUGCCUCGAAUGUGUGAGGCACUGGGUUCGAUCCUCAGCACCA